CUAAGUGUUAAUCUUCUUUUUCGGGCAAAACUGAAUUUUGCAAACCAGUUCUAGUUUGUUGCCAACAUCGCCUGUCGGAGUUCGAUCAGACCAAUAACUUCCUCAAUGAGCCGACGUAUUUUCGGUUGUAGCAGUGAUCAUUGGGGCUGUCGGUUGAGUUCAUUUCUGCUGAGAUGACUUUUACACCUUUACAGAAAGUCUCACAACCAUUUUGGGUCAUGUCAACCGUGUUAUGCUUGAGCCCUGCUCGAUCCUAUUAAUUCGACUAGACGAUCAGCUCGAUCAACUUUACUGCUCAACUUGCCCAACUCGUUCAGUCUAGUUGACUCGUUAAUCCCAAGCUUAGGGACUUCGUGACUUGGCAACUCGUACAAUCCUAUCUUUGAAUCUGCCCACCUGGUCGACCUACUUAAUUCGGCUACUCUGCUUCAUGGAAUCCAAACUCAAAACUGUCGACUUGACGCUUGACCGACCUACUUGAUUUGGUCGUCAUACUCCAUGGAACCCGAGCUUAAAACUGCUGACUAGGUACUUGGCUGACCUAUUUGAUUUGGCCGUUAUGCUCCAUGGAACCUAAGUUCGAAACUACCGACUUGACG
This 599-nucleotide long non-coding RNA is filed under the name Manihot esculenta (cassava). RNAcentral's name for it is "long non-coding RNA (MESC_LNC003844)". The record is from RNAcentral. Lineage: Eukaryota; Viridiplantae; Streptophyta; Magnoliopsida; Malpighiales; Euphorbiaceae.